Molecule: ribosomal RNA, 386 nt
Filed under: Methanoplanus sp. enrichment culture clone CIBANICRA-54
Lineage: Archaea; Methanobacteriati; Methanobacteriota; Methanomicrobia; Methanomicrobiales; Methanomicrobiaceae
Description: bacterial SSU rRNA
Rfam family: Archaeal small subunit ribosomal RNA
Source: RNAcentral
UCUGCCCGUAUAUGCUGGCUAUCCGGAUGUUUAAAACGCAUCCGAAGAAAGGGCCGGGCAAGACCGGUGCCAGCCGCCGCGGUAAUACCGGCGGCUCGAGUGGUGGCCACUUUUAUUGGGCUUAAAGCGUUCGUAGCUUGAAUAAUAAGUCUCUUGGGAAAUCUGCAGGCUUAACCUGCAGGCGUUUAAGAGAAACUGUUGUUCUAGGAACCGGAAGAGGUGAGAGGUACUCCGGGGGUAGGAGUGAAAUCCUGUAAUCCCCGGGGGACCACCGAUGGCGAAGGCAUCUCACCAGGACGGCUUCGACAGUGAGGAACGAAAGCUGGGGGAGCGAACCGGAUUAGAUACCCGGGUAGUCCCAGCCGUAAACAAUGCGCGUUAGGUGA